AAUGUUUCCAGGCAUGCUUGCAUGGCUGGGGAACAUCGUUUGAGACCCGCACAAACAUGAGAAUGCAGCACUGUGGUGCGGAAUUCGAAUGUUUGCAGGAUUGCGAAAGGCGCUUUGCGACGGAGCAAUCCGUCG
RNAcentral lists this small RNA (135 nucleotides) under uncultured Eubacterium sp. RNAcentral describes it as "Clostridiales-1 RNA". It matches the Rfam family "Clostridiales-1 RNA", at positions 21 to 159 of the family's 166-position model. Lineage: Bacteria; Bacillati; Bacillota; Clostridia; Eubacteriales; Eubacteriaceae. The record is from RNAcentral.